RNAcentral lists this unclassified non-coding RNA (279 nucleotides) under plant metagenome. Its description in RNAcentral is "partial contains small subunit ribosomal RNA, internal transcribed spacer 1, and 5.8S ribosomal RNA". The record is from RNAcentral.
UUUCCGUAGGUGAACCUGCGGAAGGAUCAUUACUGAGUGAGGGUCUCUCGGGGUCCAACCUCCCAUCCGUGUCUAACGAACCUUGUUUUUUCGGCGGGCUCGCCUCACGGCCGCCGGGGGGCACCUUUUCCCGUGUGCGCCCCCGUCGACGCCACAUGUGAACGCUGCCUGAAUUAUACAGCCAGAUUCAAUUAAUAAAUUAAUUAAAACUUUCAACAACGGAUAACUUGGUUUCUGCAACGAUGAAGAACCCAGCCGAUAGGAACAGUACACCUCUGC